This 345-nucleotide unclassified non-coding RNA is filed under the name soil metagenome. RNAcentral describes it as "partial contains 5.8S ribosomal RNA, internal transcribed spacer 2, and large subunit ribosomal RNA". The stretch from base 1 to 120 matches the Rfam family "5.8S ribosomal RNA", at positions 35 to 154 of the family's 154-position model. The record is from RNAcentral.
GAUGAAGAACGCAGCGAAAUGCGAUACGUAAUGUGAAUUGCAGAAUUCAGUGAAUCAUCGAGUCUUUGAACGCUCAUUGCGACCCCUGGUAUUCCGGGGGGCAUGCCUGUCCGAGCGUCAUUGCUGCCCUCAAGCACGGCUUGUGUGUUGGGCCUCCGUCCUCCUCCCGGGGGACGGGCCCGAAAGGCAGCGGCGGCACCGCGUCCGGUCCUCGAGCGUAUGGGGCUUCGUCACCCGCUCUUGUAGGCCCGGCCGGCGCUUGCCGACACAUCAAUCUUUUUUCCAGGUUGACCUCGGAUCAGGUAGGGAUACCCGCUGAACUUAAGCAUAUCAAUAAGCGGAGGA